GCGGACCGAAAUUUCAGUAGGGAAGCGAGUGAGUUCACGCUGGCGAGAAAAGCUGCUAGUACAUCCAAAGGUACCCGUACCGGAAACCGACGCAGGUGGGCGAGGAGAGAAUCCUGAGACGAACGGGAGAACCCUUGUUAAGGAACUCGGCAAAAUGACCCCGUAACUUCGGGAUAAGGGGUGCCUGCGAGAGCAGGCCGCAGAGAAUAGUCACAAGCGACUGUUUAGCAAAAACACAGGUAUCUGCGAAAGCGAGAGCUGACGUAUAGGUGCUGACACCUGCCCGGUGCUGGAAGGUUAAGGGAACAUGUUAGAGCAAUCGAAGCAUCGAACCGAAGCCCCAGUAAACGGCGGCCGUAACAAUAACGGUCCUAAGGUAGCGAAAUUCCUUGUCGGGUAAGUUCCGACCCGCUCGAAUGGUGUAACGACUUGUGAGCUGUCUCAACAGGGGGCCCGGUGAAAUUGAAGUAUGGGUGAAGAUGCCCAUUACCCGCGACUGGACGGAAAGACCCCGUAGAGCUUUACUGCAGCCUGAUAUUGAGUUUCGGUAACUGAUGCACAGGAUAGGUGGGAGUCUGAGAGACAUGGGUUUCGGCUCAUGUGGAGACGAUGUUGGGAUACCACUCUUCGGUUACUGAAAUUCUAACAUAGCUCUGUGAAACCAGAGGAUGGACAGUGUCAGGUGGACAGUUUGACUGGGGCGGUCGCCUCCGAAAGAGUAACGGAGGCGCCCAAAGGUACCCUCAGAAUGGAUGGAAACCAUUCGAAGAGCGCAAAGGCAGAAGGGUGCCUGACUGCGAGAUUGACAAAUCGAGCAGAGACGAAAGUCGGGCUUAGUGAUCCGGCGGUAUUGAGUGGAAAAGCCGUCGCUUAACGGAUAAAAGCUACCUCGGGGAUAACAGGCUGAUCUCCCCCAAGAGUCCACAUCGACGGGGAGGUUUGGCACCUCGAUGUCGGCUCGUCGCAUCCUGGGGCUGAAGCAGGUCCCAAGGGUUUGGCUGUUCGCCAAUUAAAGCGGCACGCGAGCUGGGUUCAGAACGUCGUGAGACAGUUCGGUCCCUAUCCAUCGUGGGCGUAGGAGUCAUGAGAGGAGCUGUUCCUAGUACGAGAGGACCGGAAUGGACGCACCACUGGUGCAACUGUUGUCGUGCCAACGGCAUAGCAGGGAAGCGAAGUGCGGAUGGGAUAAACGCUGAAGGCAUCUAAGCGUGAAGCCCACCUCAAGAAUAAGACUCCACAAUAGACCCCUGGAGGACUACCAGGUAGAUAGGUCAUCGGUGGAAGCGCUGUAAGGCGUGUAGCUUGAUGAUACUAAUCGGUCGAAAGCUUCAUGAA
This 1335-nucleotide ribosomal RNA is filed under the name metagenome. Its description in RNAcentral is "bacterial LSU rRNA". It matches the Rfam family "Bacterial large subunit ribosomal RNA", at positions 1568 to 2925 of the family's 2925-position model. The record is from RNAcentral.